The sequence is a ribosomal RNA, 1239 nucleotides long. It matches the Rfam family "Bacterial small subunit ribosomal RNA", at positions 158 to 1396 of the family's 1533-position model.
UGGGUCUAAUACCGGAUAGGAGCGUCCACCGCAUGGUGGGUGUUGGAAAGAUUUAUCGGUUUUGGAUGGACUCGCGGCCUAUCAGCUUGUUGGUGAGGUAAUGGCUCACCAAGGCGACGACGGGUAGCCGGCCUGAGAGGGUGACCGGCCACACUGGGACUGAGACACGGCCCAGACUCCUACGGGAGGCAGCAGUGGGGAAUAUUGCACAAUGGGCGCAAGCCUGAUGCAGCGACGCCGCGUGAGGGAUGACGGCCUUCGGGUUGUAAACCUCUUUCAGUAGGGAAGAAGCGAAAGUGACGGUACCUGCAGAAGAAGCACCGGCUAACUACGUGCCAGCAGCCGCGGUAAUACGUAGGGUGCGAGCGUUAUCCGGAAUUAUUGGGCGUAAAGAGCUCGUAGGCGGUUUGUCGCGUCUGUCGUGAAAGUCCGGGGCUUAACCCCGGAUCUGCGGUGGGUACGGGCAGACUAGAGUGCAGUAGGGGAGACUGGAAUUCCUGGUGUAGCGGUGGAAUGCGCAGAUAUCAGGAGGAACACCGAUGGCGAAGGCAGGUCUCUGGGCUGUAACUGACGCUGAGGAGCGAAAGCAUGGGGAGCGAACAGGAUUAGAUACCCUGGUAGUCCAUGCCGUAAACGUUGGGCACUAGGUGUGGGGACCAUUCCACGGUUUCCGCGCCGCAGCUAACGCAUUAAGUGCCCCGCCUGGGGGAGUACGGCCGCAAGGCUAAAACUCAAAGGAAUUGACGGGGGGCCCGCACAAGCGGCGGAGCAUGCGGAUUAAUUCGAUGCAACGCGAAGAACCCUUACCCAAGGGCUUGACAUGUUCUCGAUCGCCGUAGAGAUACGGGUUUCCCCUUUGGGGGCGGGUUCACAGGUGGUGCAUGGUUGUCGUCAGCUCGUGUCGUGAGAUGUUUGGGUUAAGUCCCCGCAACGAGCGCAACCCCUCGUUCCAUGGUUGCCCAGCACGUCGUGGUGGGGACUCAUGGGAGACUGCCGGGGUCAACUCGGAGGAAGGUGAGGACGACGUCAAAUCAUCAUGCCCCUUAUGUCUUGGGCUUCACGCAUGCUACAAUGGCCGGUACAAUGGGUUGCGAUACUGUGAGGUGGAGCUAAUCCCAAAAAGCCGGUCUCAGUUCGGAUUGGGGUCUGCAACUCGACCCCAUGAAGUCGGAGUCGCUAGUAAUCGCAGAUCAGCAACGCUGCGGUGAAUACGUUCCCGGGCCUUGUACACACCGCCCG